Molecule: ribosomal RNA, 821 nt
Filed under: uncultured Actinomycetes bacterium
Lineage: Bacteria; Bacillati; Actinomycetota; Actinomycetes
Description: bacterial SSU rRNA
Rfam family: Bacterial small subunit ribosomal RNA
Source: RNAcentral
AUUGGGCGUAAAGAGCUCGUAGGCGGUUCAACAAGUCGGGUGUUAAACCCCCAGGCUCAACCUGGGGCCGCCACCCGAAACUGUUGUGACUAGAGUUUGGUAGGGGAUCACGGAAUUCCUGGUGUAGCGGUGGAAUGCGCAGAUAUCAGGAGGAACACCAGUAGCGAAGGCGGUGAUCUGGGCCAAUACUGACGCUGAGGAGCGAAAGCGUGGGGAGCGAACAGGAUUAGAUACCCUGGUAGUCCACGCCGUAAACGGUGGGCACUAGGUGUGGGGACUUUUCAACGGUUUCCGCGCCGCAGCUAACGCAUUAAGUGCCCCGCCUGGGGAGUACGGUCGCAAGACUAAAACUCAAAGAAAUUGACGGGGGCCCGCACAAGCAGCGGAGCAUGUGGCUUAAUUCGAUGCAACGCGAAAAACCUUACCUAGAUUUGACAUGCUGGGAAAAGCCGCAGAGAUGUGGUGUCCUUCGGGGCUCAGCACAGGUGGUGCAUGGCUGUCGUCAGCUCGUGUCGUGAGGUGUUGGGUUAAGUCCCGCAACGAGCGCAACCCUUGUUCUAUGUUGCCAGCACGUAAUGGUGGGGACUCGUAGAAGACUGCCGGGGUCAACUCGGAGGAAGGUGGGGACGACGUCAAGUCAUCAUGCCCCUUACGUCUAGGGCUGCACACAUGCUACAAUGGGCGGUACAGAGGGCCGCUAAACCGCGAGGUGGAGCCAAUCCCUAAAACCGCUCUCAGUUCAGAUUGCAGGCUGCAACUCGCCUGCAUGAAGUUGGAGUUGCUAGUAAUCCCGGAUCAGCACUGCCGGGGUGAUACGUUCC